Non-coding RNA from Dictyocaulus viviparus (bovine lungworm), 71 nucleotides. The record is from the annotation of a GenBank genome assembly. Lineage: Eukaryota; Metazoa; Nematoda; Chromadorea; Rhabditida; Metastrongylidae.
UGCACCAACCGGGUGUCGAACCAGGGUCUACAGCUUUAGAGACUGCAAUGAUACCGCAACAAUACUGGUUU